CAUCAAACGCCUUUUGGCGUGUUCAAUACAGAGGAGCGGGGUGGAAAACGCCAGUUGUUCACGGGGAAAUGCUUCCAAAACCACAAUAGACUUACCUGUUGCUGCAGUGUGGGGGGAAAAACGUUUGUGGAAAUGACAGGCAGGUUUUAUUUUCAGAAGAGACAGUGGCGAAAGUACAGAUGAAGGUGUGAAGACAGUCAACAUGUCCAGACUGUCUAGGAAACCUCUCACAUGAGCAGCCUCUCCCCUGCAUGUCUCUGGCUACCACACACCUAAUCAGUCCUGAUUGGAUGCACUGCAAGGGACGAGGAAGCCAGCCUUUCAGAAGUUUUGAUGACACGACAGACGAAAGCGAUGGGCUCCCUUAAAUAAAGCCUUCAUCAGGCACUGAGCAGAAACAUCUGGGUCUGUUUAAAGCGUCCGUUUUACAGUAGUCAGAUCUCCAACUGUUCCUCUAGUGUCAUCCCAAUUUACCUUAACACCCUUUACUUCACAGCUCUUGUUCUAACACAAUCCGCUUUAUAAUCACACGCGCUCAAGCUUCCAAACAAAUACACACACAUGCAUCUCUGCUCUCAGCCCCAUCUACACAAACCUAAGAGAGCCAAAAUCAGCAUCAGUGAACACAAUAGCAAUUAGUGAGGGGGACAAUUUGUUCACAUCUGGAGUGUAUUUCCUUGCCACCAGAGUGCCCAGCAAUCUCUUCUUUCAGGGUCCUGGCGUGGUGGGAAAUGACUAUGUGUUUUUUACGUGUUUUGUUUAAAACAGAUGGGCGGUUUACAUUAGCGAAGAUGGGCGAUAAACAGCUUAGAAAGGAUGAGGGAAACCACCGGGACACAAAGAGAGAGACACCGCCAUCCCUUCCAGCUGCACAGACAUGGCCCUGACGCCUGUUGUGGACAUACAUGAUUUUCUCGCUCGGUUUCGUUUUGGCCAGCAUUUCUUUAAUUACAGUUGUGUAAAAAUAGGUUAUGUUAUUCUAGUAUGUUUUAAUGAGCCUGGGUCUCAGGCUGAGAACAAAUUUAUCCUGUUUGGUUCAUGGGCUGAAAAGGUUCAACAAUCGUGGAUUUAGACAGGACUGUGGGGUGUAAUUAUUUUAUUUUUAUUUUGUUUUUUGCUAAUAUUGGGCAUAAUUUAACCACAAAUGUCCAGCGACACAGCACUGCCAACAUCCAAGUUUUGAGAGGAUUGAUUAAAAUACACCUCUCACGCCAUAAGAAUCAAUGUGAUUAUUGCUGAAUACACAAAUGUUACACAACAUGCAAAUACCUGCUAAGAUGAUGUCGAGCCCAGUGGUGUUGCACUGAAAGAUAGCUUGUGAUUACAUCCUGUGCAUGUGAUGUAACCUUUGAGCAUCUGCUGCGAGAUCAGUUCUGGGUAGCACAGAGUAAAAGGUCUGGAAGUCUAUCUCAGCUGGGACUGACUUUUCGGUGAUGAGGUGGGGUAUCAGGUCGCAGACAGCCGGCACCAAUGGUCUGCAGCAGGUUGAUAAGGUAGAUGGGUGGAACACAGAGUGUCCUGUCCAGCUACACAGCCACGUGACGAAGGCACGCCGCUGCCAGAGGAGGAUCCUGGCUGAGAGGAAAACAGGCAUUUUGUCAACAGAGUUUUGUUAGUAUUGGCUAGUUUUCUUAACGCCUCUAAAGCUAAAUAAAUCUUAGGAGUCAAAAUCUUUAGAAUCAAAAUGAAUUAGUUACUUUUUUGUUAAUUUUAUGUUAGAUUCAGUUGUUGUCCACAUCACUAAGGCACGUCACAGGGGGAGGUGACAUGAAAACUGAACAUAAAAACAGGCAUUUUGUCAACAGAGUAAUCAAAAUUAAUCUUCACAGCCAAAAUUACUUUUUUUUUUUAACCUAUUUGUUAGUUUUAUGUUAGAUUCAGUUUGUGUCCACGUCACUAAUAAUGCUGCCACAGGAGGAUCCUAGCUGAGAGAAAAACUAAAAACAGGCAUUUUGUCAACAGAGUUUUGUUACUUUUGGCUAGCUUUUCUAACACCUCUAAAUCUUAAUAAAACCUUCCAGCUGAAAUUA
Long non-coding RNA from Siniperca chuatsi (mandarin fish), 2030 nucleotides. RefSeq lists it as uncharacterized. NCBI's taxonomy places the organism in Eukaryota, Metazoa, Chordata, Actinopteri, Centrarchiformes, Sinipercidae. The record is from RefSeq and is a predicted model, not a curated record. The transcript is spliced from 2 exons.